AGGGGGUGGAGGUGGGGGAGGUGGGGGAGGUGGGGGGAAGCGAAGCCCUAAGAUGGGCGGAGAGAAGCAGAUGUGGAGGUGAUGGCGAAGACCCAGAUAUAAGCAGGGUUGGCCUGUCCAAGUUCAACAGUGGGCUUCCACACCCUCCCACUUCCAGCUGGACUGGCCAAGGGACCCCGCUAAAACAGCAUCCUACACAAAAUAGAACAUAGCAGGCCGGGCGCAGUGGCUCACGCCUGUCAUCCCAGCACUUUGGGAGGCCGAGGAGGGCGGAUCACCUGAGGUCACGAGUUCGAGACUAGCCUGGUCAACAUCAUGAAAUCCUGUCUGUACUAAAAAUACAAAAUUUAGCCGGGCAUGGUGGCGGGUGCCUAUAAUUCCAGCUACUUGGGAGGCUGAGGCAGGAGAACUGCUUGAACACAGGAGGUGGAGGUUGCGGUGAGCCAAGAUCGUGCCACUUCACUCCAGCCUGGGUGACAGAGUGAGACUCCAUCUCAGAAAAAAAAAAAAAAAAAGAAGAAGAACAUAGCACAUAGUGACAUUAGGUAAAAAGGGCUGGAUCAGUAAACUUGAGUUGAAUGGCUAAUAAAUGUUGGUUGAAUAAUCGUACAUAGAUUGGACCACAAGAAACUUAGUACCAAAACCUAAUAUUUAUAUUGUUCUGUAACCAUAAGAAAAAUUAAAUCAUGAUCUAGGGCUUAAAAAAAAAAAAAAACAGAGAGAGAGAGGGAGAAAAAGAGAAAGAAAAAAAUAGAAACAGUACCAGGAACCAGGAGGAAAUGGGGAAUUUUUAGUGAGGAGGAUGUAGAGAAGAGUCCUACCACGCAGUUUUCCCUGUGCAAUGCCUCAUUAAAAGCAGAAAACGCACAUCUCAUUAGUCCCAAGUUACAGAUGAGGAUACCGAGGCUCCGAGGGGCUAAGUAGCUUGGUCAGGGCCUUAGGGCCGCCUCACCCCAGCCCAGCUGUGUUCCUCGUGGUCCCAGGAAGCCAGCAGGCACGGAAAGACUGGCCUUCUGGACCACAGAGGACACCCAGCAGAGCAGGUGCUGUGUUAGGAAAAUAAAUAACCUCUCGCUUGGAAAAGUUUAGGUUGUACUUGGCAGAUUUGUUUGGAACAAAAUUUGCACUAUCGACUCCGUGGCAAAUGGAAACCUCUCGUGGACACUCUCUGGGCUUCAGAGAUCUGAAAUGUUUAAAUGAGGCCGGACCAAACAGGAUGAGACAAAAUUGCCAGAGGAAGCUGAGCUCAGGUGGUGCCUGGGGUGAGAAGACUCUGCCUCUUUUGUCUUCGCUCCCAUCUGUGAAAUUGACUCGUUACUUUGAACUGCUUCCUCUCCUCCCAGGGAAGGCUCCAGGGGUGUUGCUCAGGCCUGCAGUUUAAAAAGAAUCUCCCAAAGCGAGCGAGGGGCCAAGGGAAAGAGGCUCAGGAACUUCUUGGGCUAUGCUCAAGAGAAUGCACCAGCCAAAGGGGACAGUUUAUCACUCACACGUGACUCGUGGGGUGGCAAUUAGCCCCGGGGCUGCCUUGAGAUUGUAGCGAUGAUCAUCUUACCGUAAUUGGCCCACUGCCCCGAUGGGCUGGUAUUUCUGCCUCCAUGGCCAAUUCUGAUUGCAGCGAUUUAUGGGAGCUCAUUGGAAAUGGGGGAUUAUUGCAAGGGGAUGAGUGACCUGGACUCCCAAAGCCUCCAGGCAAGGGAGUAGCUCCAGAAUGUACAGCCCUCCGUGGACCCUCUCCCGGCCUGUCUGCCCUGGCCUCGCCCUCCACCCAGCCAGCUCCUCCUUUUGCCCCACAUCCAAAGCCAUGGACCCACCCCUUGCUCUCCAGCACGGCCUUUCACCUUCCCCUCCCACAGCUAAGUGCCUCCAAUUCCUAGCUUUCCCAGCUUUAUUUCCCAGAAGGAAGAGCCCAGUGGAGCCAGCCAUGUCAUGACUCCUGUCGGACCAUGUUACAGACCAUGAUCACCGACCAGUUCUCUAUCCAUGGAUGAGCAGCCACCUUUUACCUUGUCAGCCAGGAGGGGUAUAGAGGGCUCUCUCCAUUUGACAAACGUUUAUUUUUAUUUCAUUUUAUUUUAUUUUUUUGAGACGGAGUUUCACUCUUGUUGCCCAGGCCGGAGUGCAAUGGCACGAUCUCGGCUCACAGCAACCUCCGCCUCCCGGGUUCAAGCCAUUCUCCUGCCUCAGCCUCCCGAGUAGCU
Molecule: long non-coding RNA, 2198 nt
Organism: Pongo pygmaeus (Bornean orangutan)
Lineage: Eukaryota; Metazoa; Chordata; Mammalia; Primates; Hominidae
Exons: 3
Source: RefSeq, a predicted model, not a curated record